Long non-coding RNA from Oncorhynchus masou masou (cherry salmon), 2144 nucleotides. RefSeq lists it as uncharacterized. The record is from RefSeq and is a predicted model, not a curated record. NCBI's taxonomy places the organism in Eukaryota, Metazoa, Chordata, Actinopteri, Salmoniformes, Salmonidae. The transcript is spliced from 3 exons.
CUGUAGUUUUUUAGAAAGAUAUUAUGUUAGCCAUGGAGAACUGCAAAUAUGUUGUUACUGCUCUCAAUAACAUUGCUGGCAUGAAUUUAUCAGCUGUUAUCGACAAAGGUCAUGGGGAAAAGGUGUGAUUGACAACUUUCUGCAAAAUGCCGACUCUCUGAUUUCAUAACACGUUUUGAAAUCAGUGGAACACAACGGACCAAAUAAGCUGUGUGAACUAAACAGAAACAACACAGGAUUUCUUAUAAAAGGGGUUGCAGUCUGCCAUUAAGCUUUCAUUAAUGUAUACAGCAUUAAAUCAGUAGAACACGCCUGACUAAUCCACCAGUCAUACAGUCAUCAAAAGAGAGCUGGCCCAAGCAAAAGAAGGCAGAAGCGCAGCCAUAAACUACAUGCACCGUUUCUUCGCCAACUACGGUGUUGGUAAAACACUGCUGACCUGAAUUGUAAUAACUGCAGUGGUCAAAACAAGAACAAGUUUGUGCUCUGGUAUUUUGCCUGGUGGACCAUGCACAAGCUCCACCACAAUCUGGACCUUCACUUCCUGAUCACAGGCCACACCAAGUUUGCCCCUGACUUUGCUUCGGCCUCAUCAAGCAGCGCUUCAGAAAGACCAGAGUGUACACUUUGUUAGAGAUUGCUGGGGUUGUGAAGGACAGCACUGUGACAGGGGUCAACAUCCCACAGCUGGUUGGACUGGAGGAUGCUGCGGACUGGAGGAUGCUGGUGGAAAGCCAUGGCUGGUAAAACACCUGACUCCCUACUUCAGGCCGCUGCCACAGAUCAAGCAGUGCCAGCCCAUCAGGUAAAUAAAAGCUUCGAUGCUCUGGACCCUGGUGUUGUUGCCAAGGAGCGUUCGGACUGUCGGGACCAGGUUUCAGCUGCUGCGCAACGCUGACAUCCUUCCUAUAUUGAUAUAUAUAUUGAUAUAUAUAAAAUAAAUAUGUAAAAUGAAUAUUGAUGUGUGGUCAUAACAUGAUUUUGUGACAUAACACAACAAUAUCAUGUGUUCGUAUCACGUGUCCACCACUUAAAUAUAUGGCACAUGCAUCUGUUUAUAUACUGUACAUGUGCACCUCACUCAGGUUUCAACUCAGGCAUGGCCUUAACUUAUGUAUGGUAUACUAUGUGAUAAGUGCAUGUGUAACAGUAUAUAAAGUAUGCUAAUGUACUGGUGUGAAGGCAUUUGGGCAGUGGUGUAAAGUACUUAUGUAAAAAUACCCUAAAGUACUAAUUAAGUAGUUUUUUGUGGUAUCUGUACAUUACUAUUUAUAUUUUUGGCAACUUUUACUUUACUACAUUUUGUAAAGAAAAUAAUGUACUUUUUACUCCAUACAUAGAGCAGCUUGCUAUGGAGCGAGCAAACUAUAGUUGUUUGCAUACAUUUCGUGUCCGACACUUGCCUGUCUAAUGUAACAGACAUUUUGAAGGGUGGGGAGAGAGUGAGAGAGAGUGGAGGAGGAGGAGGAGGCUUGGCUUGAAGUGCUGGGCAUCUUGUUAUGAAAUGUAUUAUCUGAAUUAGGCACACAUAAAUAUACCUAUGGAGGAGCAGCCUCUAUGAUGGAACUUUGAAUGUCUUUCAACUUCUGAGAGUUGGCUUAACGUUGGUCCAGAGCAAGCUAGCAAGCGAACAAGCUUGUGUGUACAGAGUGGCACCAGAAUUUAAAUAAAACACUUACCUUUUUGUAGUAACUAUAGUAUCCUUAACUAGCAUUGAAAAUGUUAAUACAUUUUUCUCUAAUAAAAAUCUCUCUUCCUAGUUUCUGAAUCUUUGGAGCUAGAAACCGCGCUCCCAUUUCUACCGGCGCCAUCUUGUAUAUGCUUUGAUUUUUUUAAAUUACUCUUGAAACAUCAGUAGGCUACAGGAGCAAACACUGUCAAAGGUGGGUGACAGAGGGAGGGCUUUGCAUAGACGUCUUGUUACGUUUCUUUGUGGGGACUAGAAAAAAAUGCCUGGAACGUAAAAUAACAUUAUUAAACAGUUCCCAUGAUUUUUAAAAUAUUGGUUCUGUUCAGGAAUGGUACAGAUCACUUUAGUUCGCAGUUCAGUUUCUGUUCCUCUAAAAUGUUUGCUAUAUUACAUUUUUUAGUUCUGUUCCCUGAACCAGUUCCACCCCCUCAAACGUUUAAAUUAUAUUAAAUAC